This 767-nucleotide long non-coding RNA is filed under the name Homo sapiens (human). RNAcentral describes it as "HSALNT0272469". The record is from RNAcentral. Lineage: Eukaryota; Metazoa; Chordata; Mammalia; Primates; Hominidae.
UCCUGGCCAAUAGGAAGCCAAGCAUUGGACCCGUGGCGCCAAAUCCUGUCCUCCCCGCUUUCAGAAGCUAGAAUCAGCCUUAUUGCACCCCUCAGAGAUCACAGCAGCAGUCAGUGCUCUCCUCAGAGAUCUGAAUUCUACUUUCAUGCGGCCCCUCCCCUGAGCUCCUGAGAUAGCCAAUGUUUGAGCCACCUCCUCAGAAGUUUGAGCCUCAACACCGUGGGAUCCCUUCUUUGUGCUCCAGAGAUCCAGUAACAGCCAGCCAUCACCCUCUCUUCAUUCUUCAUAGGCCUGAACUAAGGUGUUCAGGGCCCUCCUUCAAGCUUUUAGGUUCUGAUGACUCCAACCACUUCUUUUGUUCCAUCCUUUCCUAGCUCUAGGAAUGGUAGCUGCUACCUGCAGUGAUUACCUGUUACCUUUUAUAAUUCCUUUUGACCAAUUUCCCAUAUUAAAAUAUUUCUCAAUAACUAAUGUGAUUUCUGUUUUCCUGACUGGACCCUGAUUUUAAAAUGCACACAAAAGCCAGGUGCAGUGGCUUAUGCCUGUAAUCCCACCACUGUGGGAGGCCGAGGCAGGUGGAUCACCUGAAGUCAGGAGUUCGAGACCAGCCUGGCCAACAUGGCAAAAACCCAUCGCUACUAAAAAUACGAAAAUUAGCUGGGCAGUGGUGGCAGGUGCCUGCAAUCCCAGCUACUUGGAAGGCUGAGGCACGAGAAUCUCUUGAACCCGGGAGGCGAAGGUUGCAGUAAGCCAAGAUCAUGCCACUG